AAUAUCAACAACAUUGAUAACAUGCCUUUGGCAUUGAGCAUUAAGUCUCCAUGAGGUCUAGCCAGAGGAAAAGAAAUAAUGACAGUGUACAACCACACUACUACCGGAAAAGCACUGCACGUGUCUUGCUGCUCCUAGAUUAGAAGGACUAUCUCUGCAUGUGAAGAUCAUGUCUGAGUGAACCAAACAGUCCUCACUAUUUUAUCCUUUUAGUGUACGUCUUUAGGCUAGCUCUUAGAACAUCAAGAGUUUGCAGUUUGGAUACCUGAAGGCUUCUGGAGGAGAUGGAAGUGGUGUGGUUUGAGGUUGGUAACAAGCAAAGAGAGGCAGCAGAAGUGAAGAGGUGGCUUAAAAGGAAUGGAAAUCUUAAAGAAGAGUUUGCCAAGAUGGAGCGGGAAGAAAUUACAUAUGAGAAUAUGGGUGCCCUUUGAGGAUGCUGUAAGCAGGGUGGUUUGGGGGUGGAAAUAGAGAUGGGGUUUUGCAAGAAGAGAGUGAUGCAGGCAAGCAGAUGGACUAAUUGCUAAGAAGAGGAAGGCCCUAGAUGAAGAUGGGGGACCAAACUAGCAUGGGUAUUUUGGGCGAGCUGCCAAGAAAUAAUUUGGGGCAUUUUCAUAAGACUUUGGUAACCUGAAGAACUAUUUAUUUUUAGGUAGAUCAACUAUGUCUCCUGAUCUUGGAAAAGUGGCCUUAUGUAGGAGAUGUCUAAUGGGGCCCAGCAGCAUGCUCUUCUCUGGCCACCAAAGCCAGCUGCUCCACAAGUGUCCCCUGUGUAAUACUCAUGCUGAACAAAUGAAAGGAUGAGUCGCAAGUGCUAAACACAGAGUUGUUUUUGGAGCUCACUAAUAAUUAAAUAGAGAUACAUACUGGACACCCAAUUAUAGCUGUCCAGAGAGUUGGAAAAUUGGUUGCUGUGGGGGAAAAAAACCACACAUUUGGUGUCAUAAAUGUUAUUAGCCCUGAGCUAACUGCUGCCAAUCUCCCUCUUUUUGCUGAGGAAGACUGGCUCUGAGCUAACAUCCGUGCCCAUCUUCCUCUACUUUAUAUGUGGGACACCUUCCACAGCAUGGCUUUCCAAGUGGUGCCAUGUCCGCAGCCGGGAUCCAAACCAGCGAACCCCAGGCCGCUGAAGUGGAAUAUGUGAACUUAACCACCGCACCACCGGGCCGGCCCUAACGCUUGCUUUUGACAGCUAUUGCUGCAAAACAAACCACCACAAAACUCAGUGGUUUAAAACAGCAAUUAUUUGUUAUUGCUUAUAUAUCUGCUGGUAGGCCUAGGGUCAAGUGAUGUAGGUUAAGUUCUCCUGGGUGGCUCUCCUCUAUGCAAUGGUUCUGGCUGGAGUUGACUUUACUGGGGUCUAGUCUAUGUGUGUUUAUUCAGAGGCACAGACCAGAGUGUGGGUGAGCAGCAGUUACACAGAGGAUUUCUGCUCAUGGAGAUGGCAAAAAUGCAUGAGGGCUAGGAGAAAAACUGAAGACUCUAAGGCUUAGCCUUGAAAAUAUCAUACAUUUGGUUCUUGUUUAUUCUAUUGGCCAAAGCAAGUCAUAAGGCCAAACCCAAAGUCAAGAGGGAGAGCAAUAUACUCCACAAAUUUAAUGGGAGGAAUUGCAAAGUCUCUUGGCAAAGAGUGUGGAUACAGUGAGACGUCAAGAAUUGCAGCCAUUCAUGUAAUCUAUCACAACAGAUUUUUUUUCCUUUUUUUGUCAUUCUAGUUAUGGUAUAGUGAUAAAAUAUUGUGUUUUUAAUUUACAUUUCUCUGAUGACAAAUGAAGUUGAGAACUUUUUUGAUAUAUUUUUGUCCAUCUGUAUACCUUUGUAAAGGGUUGUUCCAGAUCCUUUGCCCAUUUAAAAGCUUGAGUUGUCUCCCUUUUUCUUACUGAUAUGUAGGAUUUUUAAUAAAAA
This 1902-nucleotide long non-coding RNA is filed under the name Equus caballus (horse). RNAcentral describes it as "lncRNA (ENSECAG00000049664.1)". Lineage: Eukaryota; Metazoa; Chordata; Mammalia; Perissodactyla; Equidae. The record is from RNAcentral.